This is a long non-coding RNA of Polistes canadensis, 4734 nucleotides long. RefSeq lists it as uncharacterized. Lineage: Eukaryota; Metazoa; Arthropoda; Insecta; Hymenoptera; Vespidae. The record is from RefSeq and is a predicted model, not a curated record. The transcript is spliced from 6 exons.
UAUAUACAAUUUUGAAAAGAAGAAGGAAAAAAAAAGAAGUUACACCGUUCUCAAUAAAGUGUUACGUAGAAACAUAUGUUUAAAUCGCGAUUUGAAAAGCGCGCUCCUGGCAUGACUUGGUACGUUCUAUUGGUUCUAGUCACGUGAUACUAUUCAUCAUGGCGACCAUUAGAUGCCGGUGGUACGAUCAAAAAACAAAAAAUUAAAAUUACCCUGCCGGGGAGUCUGUCGUUGGAUGAAGUUGCAUCGUUAGCUCGCCGAGCUUCCCAAAGGCAACUCCAGCCGCGGUGAAAAUCUCACCGACCUACAAGUACAUCAAAAAAGACAUUCGAUGAAAUAAAAAAAACUCGAUAUUUUAUAUUUAUUUUAUUCCUUCAAAGAAACACUAAAGCUCCAUUGCUCUUGGCAUAGCGAAAAGAAAUAGAAGUAAGAAAGAGAGUGAGUGAGAGCGAGCGGAAUGCACGUGACUGAAGAGCGGUAGAAAAAGGAAGAACGAGAGCGGUGGGGAGAGAACGGCUGCUAAGCACUAUGUGGCGGGAAAGUGCCUAAAAUCAUCGACUAUGAGCCCCUUUUCUUUCGCUUACCUUGCUCGCUGAGUUCAUCUCACAAAGAGUUUGUUGUUGCACGCAUACGCCUGACGCUUAGUGGAAAGGAAAUAGCUCGUACGGUGGAUCCACAUAGAGAUGGAGAAACAAAAGACAACGUCGAAGUGGGUUCUUCCAAGUUUCCUGAGAUACCUCGAGAUGGUCGGGUCGCACUCGGAAGAAAGAAAUUCACCGUACUCGAAGGUAAUUCGAUCUGGACGAGGAUUACUUUGCUGCGAUCUCUCGAUGAGGAUCGGAUCGAGAUCUAUACCCAGCAGAAAGAUGUCAGGCUCUGAAGAAGAUAAAGGGGUAAAAGUUGAUAAAUGGAACUCAUCUGUCGGUUUACUUAUGAACGAUUCGUUCCAUCCUUUCCGACAGCUGCCCGCUCUUACCCCUGCGUUACAGCCAAUGUCUAACCCCACAUAUUUCCGGUCCGAACGAACAGACUGCCAGACGUCUCGCGGAAGUUGCCGUACGCGUUCUUCCGCACUAUGAAAUUGGUAGUAAUUCAUAAAGUUCCCAUAUCUGCUCGCACCCGGAUCCGCCUUUAUUUUCAUAUUCUCCGUCUUCUCUUUUUCUUUCGGAUCUUCCGACAUAUUUCGAGAAAUCUUAUAGAAUUCUCACGAAUUGCUAUCUAAAUGGAAAAUAUGUAUCUUUAAAUAUUCUAUUUUAUUUGAACCGUUGCAUCAAAGCUAUUAUAACUAAUCGAUAAGAUGUUUAUGUUUUAAAACGGUCGAUAAGUAUGCAAUCUUUAACGCAAUUACGAAGUAUUGUGAAACUUUGAAGAGAAAAAUUGAUGUUAAUCGUUAACGAUUUGUUACGACUCUCGUGACACGCAUGGACCACGUGCUUACGUAUGCAGUGUAUCUUCGGGAGCGAAAUUUCGCCGUACUAGAAGUAAUAUUACUUAUAUCUAUUCGACAAAGAUACAAUGAAUGACGGCUGCGCUACGUUUACAGUUGGCUGGCUAAGUGUGCGUAUCGUAUUAGUUAUAUCUAUAUAGUAGUAAUACUCACCACGUUGCUCAAUUAUUCUUUCAACCAACGGAAGACUGUGCUGCCCUACCAAACGAAACACUACUACAAAUCCUUUCUCGCACAGCUGUUCUCGAUACAAGAGUUUGAAUUAUUUGUAUUUGAAUUAUUCAAAUUACAGAUUAUUACAAAGUUGCGAACGAUCGUAGUACUUUUCGAUCUUUACUCAAUUUUAAACACGCUCUUAUAACUUUCCGAUUGUACAACUUUUUAUCAUCAUUUUAGUCGAAGAAAUGUCCGAUAUUCUUCAUUCAUAUUCCUCCGUAUUCGAAAAGAAUGUCAUUUUUUAAAGUUGUAGGCAAAAUGAGUCACAUGGCAGGGAGGUCUUGGCAAGAUUAACCGAGAAGUAGAGACGGUGCUGUCAUCUCAUGGAAACCACGAGAAAUUGUUCCUAUUAUCAAAGAGAAACGUUCAAUAAUAUUAUUACAUAUGUAUUAUGAAAUGUAGCUAUUUAAGUGAACGUAUAUUUGUUUAGAUAGAUUUUUUUAUUAAUUUAUAUUGGAUUUAUUCAGCCCUAACACAUAGAGAUAUGAUUUAUUUGACAAAGGAAAGAAAGAAGGAAGAAGUCAUUUGGAUAAAGAUAAAAGAUCGAAGGAUAGGAUCCAAGGAAGCAAGACUCAAACGAAGAGACGUCCGCGACCCAGAUAAACGUUAGCCUUCGCGAACGUGGCUCGAUCGCGAGCGAAUCCGAGGAGAAUCGUGUUGAGAUACGAUGCAUUUGCGUUUCGCGAGAGAACUUUAGUCAUUCUUUAUCUUUGCCUUGUAAUCUCCUUCGAUCUAUCGAUAGAUUCGUCUCUGAUGUUUUUUACACUUAUAUGUAAGCAGCAGCAUAAUUUCUAUGGAUCGGUCAACAAUGCCUAUCGAUCUCUCGAAUUACACGAAUUAACUUAGCGAUAUCAGAUAGCACCGAUAUGACCCUGACUUCCUGUCAGAGAAAAGAAGAAAGAAGAAGAAAAACUGACGAAGAAAAGUAUACCCGCGAAGGUCUCUAAAUGACACACCUACAAUUAUGUAAAGCCCCCUACGCACUGCGUGUCGCAAUAAUUCGCAAACAAUACGACGAUAGAUUUGAGUACGUUCCUCCUCUGUUUGCGAAACUCGACACGGUGUCGGUGCGAUUCUCGUUGAGAAGAGAAAAGAAAGAUUACACAUUCAAUUCGAUAUAGGAAAAGGAUCGAGAUUCUUAGGGACUCGUAUAAGUAUUUUGUUUCAAUGGAUAAUUACGAAAAUGGGAAGAUAGUUGUCCCUGGAAAUAGGCAAGCGUGUCUAGGUUUCGAAAGGUCAGGUAGAAAAAGGUAGAAAAUAGGCAGGAAGGCCUUUUGGGUAGGGUCUGUGGAAUGGUAGACGCAAGCCGGCAGGCCGGCCGGCAGGCAGGCGGGUAAAGGCAGGCGGGCAAAAGCAGGCGGGCAAAAGCAGGCGGGCAAAGGCAGGUGCAACUCGGCUAUCUCUCGCGUUUGGAGAGCACAACUUGCGCAUUCUCUUGGACUCUUCUCGCUGCAAUUUCCUUUCUUUUUCUUUCAUCUCGUUGUUCGCUCAAGAGCAGAUGCGUCCGUGAACGAAGGCAUGUGCGAAGCCACGUACUCCGAGAUAACGAUGGGAGGAAGAUCGGCCGUGCUCCUACAAUACCAACAAGUACAGAGAAAAAGAUCCGAGUCGAGCCGAGCCGAGCCGAGUCGAUCCGCCGAACAUACAAAUAUUGAAUUUUGUUCGGGUUCUCUCCUUCUUUUUUCAAAGAAUCUCUCUUGCCAAAUAGCUUUUAAAGCACGCGAGCUCGCGUAUUGCCAAACGCACGAGCAAACCGGUUCCCCGCUGCUCUUUUGAAAUAUUUCCGAAGGAAAAAGGAUAAGAUUUUGUUUCUGACGCAUCGAUCGGAUUAACCACGCUCGACUCGAACCGAAAAUCUUACCGAAACUUUACAAAUUGCUAAUAUUCGAGCGGUCAUUUAUGUUAUGGCACUCAUGCUACUUUAAAGAUUCUAUUUUGUAAAGUAAAGUCAGAUCCGUAUCAGAAUGAAUCUUUGUAAAUUGUUACGCUAGAUUACUAAUCCCUCGCGUAUUCUGGGAAUACACGUUGUCCGUGAGAUAUCGAGCGAUAGGAGACGAGGAAAGUCCAACCUAUUGACCCCAAUUUUCGCUGCGCUCGAUGUCGAAUAAAAGAGAAGAUAAAAGAAAAGGAUUGCGACACACGCACAAGUUUGCAAUAAUUGUACUAAAAAAAAAAAAAGAAAAAAUCAUGAAAAACGUCGAGUCUGUAAUUGCAUCGUAUGGAGCAACGCGUUGUAAAGUAGUCUCUUGUGUUAGUCGACGUUGCUGCAAUUCUAGAACUCCUCUCGUUAGAUUCCUUAAAAGAAAAAAAAAAAAGAACAAACAAAUUAUUCAGAUUCGAAAAAUACUUGAUUAGAAAAUGUGGGAAAAUGUCGAAAUAAAGGGUAACACAUCGAUGAUCGUCGGAAGGCCUCUAUGAUGCAUAACUUCGUGAGUGGACGAUUAGUCAGCAUGAGUUGACAUCAUCCUCGAUUCUCGCAUCUACUAUAUAUAUGCAGUAUCUAUGUAUGCACAUCGAAUAAAGGGUUGUUGAAUGGCUUUUCGGGUACGCGUUGUUGGAUUAUUUGUAACGUUGCCGCGGACGAUAAAAUCGAAACUUGUAUCUAGAAGAUUGAAAUUCUGAGACUAAAAGACGGAAGGAUAAAUAUUUGAUUAUUUGUAUAACCCCGCCCCGAGUAGGUCGACGGCACGAGGACAGCUGGAAGAUCCUUUCUUCGAGAAGUAAGAUUGAAGACGUCGAUACUCGUGGUUACAAUAAUAGAGGCAUGGAAAAUCCGCUUUUUCCGGAACGGGGCUUCACCGUCCCCCUGUCAUUGGGUACGGACGAGGAUCUUCCUUUGCCGACAAACGGACAACUGAAAACGACCUCACGAGCGACAACAAGAGAAACACAAAGAAAAUUUCCGUCUUUCGUGGCUCGGCUAGGCUACAUGCUGGGAGCAACCCUAACCACUAUAUGCGACGAAGAGAGCCCAUGUAUUGCUCCUCCUCGAUUUGUUUCCUUCACUCAUACCAACGCACCAACUGCCAGGCACGUGGAUUCUAUUCGACCCUUUUUCUCCGCUUUGCGAG